ACUGAGCCUGCUGGGAACAAGAACAAAUCAUAGUGCAGAGUACAGACUAGAUAACAAAUUCUUCUUGACAUGUUCUAAUGAGCAGAGCAGACAUUCUUGGUGUAUUAUUACACAGAUGGAGGGUCAUGUGUGUCAGCAUCUAUUGAAUGUACCUGUGGUUGAAGUCUGGGUGUUCUGUUCUGCCGUCUUGUUGCCUGGUUGAGAUGGAAUUCCUGUCAGGGAAAUAGAAAAGUCCUAGGGGUGUUAGAGAAAUAGAAUGUAUAACAGAUGCAUGGCUCACUUCUCCUGAGUAAUCAAGGCACUCUUGUUUGAAAGACGGGGAAAAGGUUUGUUUAACAAAAACAUUUGCUCAAAAAUUGAAAAUCCAAGAGGAGUUGUGUUUGUCCAUCUGUGUAUCUAAUGAUCUACUGAACCAAUAUCUGACUCUUAUUCAAGAGUUAGACAUUGCAGUCAGUCAUUUGGCAAUUACUGCAAGGAAUGUGUGUGUUUCUUAAAGAAUUUACUUGAAAUGUGUAGGACUCCCAGAUUGAUGGAUGUAGCCUUCUGAGUAGGCCUACAUAAUAAAUCACUUGAGGUGUUCUGAUGUGCAUGGUCAACAAAUGUGCUGGUUGAUAAAAUACCUGUAUUUAUGGGAAAGAUGUUUGAAAAGGGUAUUUUGUUCUUAAAUGAUAUUGUGAUGGUAGAGUUAUGUCCUUCAUGGAGUUGUUCGGGAAGGUCUGCUCAAUCCAAGAGUGCAACGAAUUGAUUACAGCAUUGCCCCAAAAAAAUGGAGGAGGCGGGUGGCAGUGGGAGGAGGUAGGGAACUGGUCUGUCUGCCCAAUAUAAAGGAUACAAACUGGAGGAGGCAGGUGGCAGUGGGAGGAGGUAGGGAACUGGUCUGUCUGCCCAAUAUAAAGGAUACAAACUGGAGGAGGCAGGUGGCAGUGGGAGGAGGUAGGGAACUGGUCUGUCUGCCCAAUAUAAAGGAUACAAACUGGAGGAGGCAGGUGGCAGUGGGAGGAGGUAGGGAACUGCUCUGUCUGCCCAAUAUAAAGGAUACAAACUGGAGGAGGCAGGUGGCAGUGGGAGGAGGUAGGGAACUGCUCUGUCUGCCCAAUAUAAAGGAUACAAACUGGAGGUGGCAGUGGGAGGAGGUAGGGAACUGCUCUGUCUGCCCAAUAUAAAGGAUCAAAACUGGAGGAGGCAGGUGGCAGCAGGAGGAGGUAGGGAACUGGUCUGUCUGCCCAAUAUAAAGGAUACAAACUGGAGGAGGCAGGUGGCAGCAGGAGGAGGUAGGGAACUGCUCUGUCUGCCCAAUCUAAAGGAUACAAACUGGGGGAGGCAGGUGGCAGCAGGAGGAGGUAGGGAACUGGUCUGUCUGCCCAAUAUAAAGGAUACAAACUGGAGGAGGCAGGUGGCAGUGGGAGGAGGUAGGGAACUGGUCUGUCUGCCCAAUAUAAAGGAUACAAACUGGAGGAGGCAGGUGGCAGUGGGAGGAGGUAGGGAACUGGUCUGUCUGCCCAAUAUAAAGGAUACAAACUGGGGGAGGCAGGUGGCAGCAGGAGGAGGUAGGGAACUGGUCUGUCUGCCCAAUAUAAAGGAUACAAACUGGAGGAGGCAGGUGGCAGUGGGAGGAGGUAGGGAACUGCUCUGUCUGCCCAAUAUAAAGGAUACAAACUGGAGGAGGCAGGUGGCAGUGGGAGGAGGUAGGGAACUGGUCUGUCUGCCCAAUAUAAAGGAUACAAACUGGAGGAGGCAGGUGGCAGCAGGAGGAGGAAGGGAACUGGUCUGUCUGCCCAAUAUAAAGGAUACAAACUGGGGGAGGCAGGUGGCAGUACACAUGCAUAUACAUGCAUAUGCACACACUCUCAUUCAAAUGAACACAUACAAGAACACACACACAUACAUGUAAUAGUGCCAGACAUGCACACAAACAUAUAAAGUAGGCAUUGCUGUUAUGAUUUCAGUUGUUCUUGAUGUCCUUUGUUUUAAAUGUAAUAUUUAAAAAAUAAAUAAUUUGCAUUGUU
Oncorhynchus keta (chum salmon) is the source of this 2006-nucleotide long non-coding RNA. RefSeq lists it as uncharacterized. The transcript has 3 exons. The record is from RefSeq and is a predicted model, not a curated record. Lineage: Eukaryota; Metazoa; Chordata; Actinopteri; Salmoniformes; Salmonidae.